RNAcentral lists this ribosomal RNA (253 nucleotides) under uncultured bacterium. Its description in RNAcentral is "partial 16S ribosomal RNA". It matches the Rfam family "Bacterial small subunit ribosomal RNA", at positions 524 to 776 of the family's 1533-position model. The record is from RNAcentral.
AACGUAGGACGCAAGCGUUAUCCGGAGUUACUGGGCGUAAAGCGCGUGCAGGCGGUCUUGCCAGUCUGAUGUGAAAUCUCUCAGCUCAACUGGGAGCAGCCAUUGGAAACUACAAGACUGGAGUCUGACAGAGGUAGGCGGAAUUCCGGGUGGAGUGGUGAAAUGCGUAGAGAUCCGGAGGAACACCAGAGGCGAAGGCGGCCUACUGGGUCAGUACUGACGCUGAGACGCGAAAGCCAGGGGAGCGAACGGG